This 301-nucleotide ribosomal RNA is filed under the name uncultured bacterium. RNAcentral's name for it is "partial 16S ribosomal RNA". It matches the Rfam family "Archaeal small subunit ribosomal RNA", at positions 459 to 760 of the family's 1478-position model. The record is from RNAcentral.
CAGUAGCCGCGGGAAUACCAGCACCUCGAGUGGUCAGGAGGUUUAUUGGGCCUAAAGCAUCCGUAGCCGGUUGCAUAAGUUUUCGGUUAAAUCUAUGCGCUUGACGUAUAGGCCGCCGAAAAUACUGUGCAGCUAGGGAGUGGGAGAGGUACACGGUACUCGAUAGGAAGGGGUAAAAUCCUUUGAUCUAUUGAUGACCACCUGUGGCGAAGGCGGUGUACCAGAACACGUUCGACGGUGAGGGAUGAAAGCUGGGGGAGCAAACCGGAUUAGAUACCCGUGUAGUCCCUGUCUCUUAUAC